GACGAACGCUGGCGGCGUGCUUAACACAUGCAAGUCGAACGGAAAGGCCCUGCUUGCAGGGUGCUCGAGUGGCGAACGGGUGAGUAACACGUGGGUGAUCUGCCCCUUACUUUGGGAUAAGCCUGGGAAACUGGGUCUAAUACUGGAUAGGACCAUGCUGUAGGUGGUGUGGUGGAAAGAUUAGUUUCGGUAAGGGAUGAGCUCGCGGCCUAUCAGCUUGUUGGUGGGGUAAUGGCCUACCAAGGCGUCGACGGGUAGCCGGCCUGAGAGGGUGGACGGCCACAUUGGGACUGCGAUACGGCGCAGACGCCGACGGGAGGCAGCAGAGGGGAAUAGUGCACAAUGGGCGCAAGCCUGAUGCAGCGACGCCGCGUGGGGGAUGACGGCCUUCGGGUUGUAAACUCCUUUCAGCCAUGACGAAGCCCUUGUGGUGACGGUAGUGGUAGAAGAAGCACCGGCUAACUACGUG
RNAcentral lists this ribosomal RNA (469 nucleotides) under uncultured bacterium. RNAcentral describes it as "partial 16S ribosomal RNA". It matches the Rfam family "Bacterial small subunit ribosomal RNA", at positions 28 to 507 of the family's 1533-position model. The record is from RNAcentral.